GAAGAAGAAUGACUGUUUACUGUUUUGAAAUGGUCUGACAUGAUAAACAUUGCUCUAUUGUAAUCAUAGCACUAGAUUUGAAUUCGUUUUUGUUCUUAAAUAACAUGCUCUGUUUCUGAAUCGCUGUUCAUGACGAUUGAAUGAUGGAUAAAAAGUUAACGUUGGACAAAUUAACAUUUGUCAUAAUAUCACUUCCGAGGCAUUUAGAAGUAUCAAAUCAUCCUAUCACGCCAGAAUACAGGCCUAUAUAACAACUGAGAGUGGUCAAUUUGAACACCUAUAAGACAUGAUAAUAACCUUAUGGUAAGCGACUU
Long non-coding RNA from Centruroides sculpturatus (bark scorpion), 314 nucleotides. RefSeq lists it as uncharacterized. The transcript has 3 exons. The record is from RefSeq and is a predicted model, not a curated record. NCBI's taxonomy places the organism in Eukaryota, Metazoa, Arthropoda, Arachnida, Scorpiones, Buthidae.